GUCCCUGCAGUGCAAUAGUUAGCACGUUGGACUUCUAAUCCAAGGGUCGUGGGUUCGAGACCCAUCUGGGAUG
Trichonephila clavipes is the source of this 73-nucleotide non-coding RNA. Lineage: Eukaryota; Metazoa; Arthropoda; Arachnida; Araneae; Nephilidae. The record is from the annotation of a GenBank genome assembly.